This 253-nucleotide ribosomal RNA is filed under the name uncultured bacterium. Its description in RNAcentral is "partial 16S ribosomal RNA". It matches the Rfam family "Bacterial small subunit ribosomal RNA", at positions 524 to 776 of the family's 1533-position model. The record is from RNAcentral.
UACGUAGGGUGCAAGCGUUGUCCGGAAUUAUUGGGCGUAAAGAGCUCGUAGGCGGUUUGGCGCGUCUGCUGUGAAAACUCGGGGCUUAACUCCGGGCCUGCAGUGGGUACGGGCAGACUAGAGUGCGGUAGGGGAGACUGGAAUUCCUGGUGUAGCGGUGAAAUGCGCAGAUAUCAGGAGGAACACCGGUGGCGAAGGCGGGUCUCUGGGCCGUAACUGACGCUGAGGAGCGAAAGCGUGGGGAGCGAACAGG